AAAUCUAGCUCUGGAUCAUCUUAAGGGCUUGCACUUAAGAUAAUUAGGCCAACUAUCCAGCUUUCCAUCUCUAGAUUUACAACACUUUUGAACACCAUGAGGAAAGAGUGAGUUAUUGGAGGAAGUCUUAGCAGUGUGAGGCCAAUAAAAGGACCGGGGACGAUUCUCAGAGUUGUACCAAAGGUCAUUGUGGAGAAAUCAACUAAAUCAGAAGAUGUUGGCACCACUGGGAAAACAACACCUUUGCCAACGAUUUUCCAUACAAUGAACAUCAGCUUGGAGAUGACCUCUAAAGAACCAAACACAUCCACUUCGACAGCAGAGGUGAUCUGCAUGGACAAGUUCGACAGCAGCAUGAUAACAAUACUGCCAGAUCCUGAAGGGCAGAGAGUGAACAUGCUGUCCAUGGCUGUGUUGGGUUUGAGAGUGCUGCUGGCAAAGAGCAUCGCCUUCAAUGCCCUCAUGAGUAUCAAGUUGUUUCUUUUCUGAGUCAUGGGGAAUGAAGGCAAGAGGAACCCGAAGAAGAGCAGGAAAGAACGUGAACCAGCAGCACAAGGGGGUUGAACAAGCAGGGGCAGAGCAGCUGACAGAGACCAGCCAGGACACAAGGCAGCACCUUCCCGUCAGGACAUUGAAUCCUCUUCACUCCUGCCUGGCCAGCUGAUUCACACUGAAGAGUUUUAAGUGCUUUUGCUGUUUCCUCUCCUCUGAGAGCUGAGGAGGGGAAUUUAUCCACAUCCUCCUGCUUAGCAGAUCUCCCCACUCUUCUGGCAUUUGCACACAAGUGUCCAACCUGCAUCAAUAGCCUUGAAAACUCCAAUGCUGACUCUAGACCUGUGGCCUUUUAAAAGCACCUUUGCCAGGCAUGUUGUGUUACUGCCUCUAGAAGUGGAGUAUUACUGCUGAGAGAAUUCAAGCCCUGGAGCUGCCAUUUCUGGCUCUGGGUUUUGGACAGAUUUAAUAACAUCAAGUGUGUAUUGCAGAUGAGAAGAACUGUGUAGGAUCUCAAGUGAUUUAAUUCAAGCAGAAAAUGUUCAUUUCUUUCUGAAGCCUCUAUUUCUUCUGCCAAAUGUAUCUCAUGUGCACUUUAGGUUCCUGUAGUAGUGACAAAAAUAAAGUUG
Non-coding RNA from Pseudopodoces humilis (Tibetan ground-tit), 1121 nucleotides. The record is from RefSeq and is a predicted model, not a curated record. Lineage: Eukaryota; Metazoa; Chordata; Aves; Passeriformes; Paridae.